UACGUAGGUGGCAAGCGUUGUCCGGAUUUACUGGGCGUAAAGAGCGCGCAGGCGGUUGAUUAAGUCGAAUGUGAAAGCCCCCGGCUCAACUGGGGAGGGUCAUUCGAUACUGAUCGACUUGAAGGCAGGAGAGAGAAGUGGAAUUCCCGGUGUAGUGGUGAAAUGCGUAGAUAUCAGGAGGAACACCGGUGGCGAAGGCGGGUCUCUGGGCAGUAACUGACGCUGAGGAGCGAAAGCGUGGGGAGCGAACAGG
Molecule: ribosomal RNA, 253 nt
Filed under: uncultured bacterium
Lineage: Bacteria
Description: partial 16S ribosomal RNA
Rfam family: Bacterial small subunit ribosomal RNA
Source: RNAcentral